GGAGGAAAAGAAACCAACAGGGAUUGCCUCAGUAACGGCGAGUGAAGCGGCAAAAGCUCAAAUUUUAAAGCUGGCAUCUUCGGUGCCCGCGUUGUAAUUUUGUGAGGCAUCUCCGGGUAGGGCGCCGGCCUAAGUUCCUUGGAACAGGACGUCACAGAGGGUGAGAAUCCCGUGCUUGGCUGGCUGUCCCCGCCCACGUGAGGUGUCUUCGACGAGUCGAGUUGUUUGGGAAUGCAGCUCAAAAUGGGUGGUAAAUUUCAUCUAAAGCUAAAUAUUGGUGGGAGACCGAUAGCGCACAAGUAGAGUGAUCGAAAGAUGAAAAGCACUUUGAAAAUAGAGUUAAAAAGUACGUGAAAUUGUUGAAAGGGAAGCGCUUGAGACCAGACUUCGGUAGGGGGUGAUCAGCCGUCCUUCUGGGCGGUGCACUUGCCCCCCUCCGGGCCAGCAUCGGUUGAGGCGGCGGGAUAAAGGUCCCGGGAAUGUGGCUCCCUCACGGGAGUGUUAUAGCCCGGGUGAAUGCCGCCAGCCUCGACCGAGGACCGCGCCCGCAAGGGCCAGGAUGCUUGGCGUAAUGGUCUUCAGCGACCCGUCUUGAA
RNAcentral lists this ribosomal RNA (596 nucleotides) under Morchella tridentina. RNAcentral describes it as "partial 28S ribosomal RNA". It matches the Rfam family "Eukaryotic large subunit ribosomal RNA", at positions 52 to 658 of the family's 3401-position model. The record is from RNAcentral. Lineage: Eukaryota; Fungi; Ascomycota; Pezizomycetes; Pezizales; Morchellaceae.